CUAGGCGCGUCCAGUUGAGUAGUCUCUCAAGACGUCUCGUCGAUUUGAAUGUGGAGGGAUGCAGGGCUAGUCCAGCUGUAGAUAGGGCAAUUAUGGCAAUACGUUUAUCCAACUAUCUUUUGAUUGUUUAUGCCGUCAUCUUUACAUGUAUACACGAUGCUUGGUGUGUGGGAACUUGAUGGCAGUAACGUUAACGCCGUUUGCUUAGAGCUCAGCCAACUAAUGUUCGCUGUCUGGUCAACCUCAACACGUGGUGCGGUAGCAUGUGCUAGCCUGCAGCAAUUGGUGUCCUGGUCCUGCAGGUGGUGAUGAUCGAAGUUGACUGAAUUGACAGUUGGUAGGGGAUUUGGGCCUGAACAUCUUACACAUCUUAUAGUUGACUGAAUUGACAGUGGGUAGGUGAUUUGGGCCUGAACAUCUUAUAGUCGGUAUGGGAUUUGGACCUAAGCAUCUUAAACAUCUUAUAGUUGACUGAAUUGACAGUUGGUAGGGGAUUUGGGCCUGAACAUCUUACACAUCUUAUAGUCGGUAUGGGAUUUGGACCUAAGCAUCUUAAACAUCUUAUAGUUGACUGAAUUGACAGUCGGUAUGGGAUUUGGACCUAAGCAUCUUAAACAUCUUAUAGUUGGUAUGGGAUUUGGACCUGAGCAUCUCAAAAGGAAAAGCUGCAUCCAGGUAGUCCCUGCUUUUAUGGCUCAAUUGGAAUGGUUGGAGUGUCUUAUGUUGAUGCAAUAAAUUGUGAAGGAGA
Long non-coding RNA from Alosa sapidissima (American shad), 748 nucleotides. RefSeq lists it as uncharacterized. The transcript is spliced from 10 exons. Lineage: Eukaryota; Metazoa; Chordata; Actinopteri; Clupeiformes; Clupeidae. The record is from RefSeq and is a predicted model, not a curated record.